AACGAACGCUGGCGGCAUGCCUAACACAUGCAAGUCGAACGAGAUCUUCGGGUCUAGUGGCGCACGGGUGCGUAACGCGUGGGAAUUUGCCCUUUGGUUCGGAAUAACAGUUGGAAACGACUGCUAAUACCGGAUGAUGACGAAAGUCCAAAGAUUUAUCGCCAGAGGAUGAGCCCGCGUAGGAUUAGCUAGUUGGUGUGGUAAAGGCGCACCAAGGCGACGAUCCUUAGCUGGUCUGAGAGGAUGAUCAGCCACACUGGGACCGAGACACGGCCCAGACUCCUACGGGAGGCAGCAGUGGGGAAUAUUGGACAAUGGGCGAAAGCCUGAUCCAGCAAUGCCGCGUGAGUGAUGAAGGCCCUAGGGUUGUAAAGCUCUUUUACCCGGGAUGAUAAUGACAGUACCGGGAGAAUAAGCCCCGGCUAACUCCGUGCCAGCAGCCGCCGUAA
RNAcentral lists this ribosomal RNA (449 nucleotides) under uncultured bacterium. RNAcentral's name for it is "partial 16S ribosomal RNA". It matches the Rfam family "Bacterial small subunit ribosomal RNA", at positions 29 to 523 of the family's 1533-position model. The record is from RNAcentral.